AAACUAACAAGGAUUCCCUUAGUAACGGCGAGUGAACCGGGAAGAGCUCAAAUUUGUAAUCUGGCGUCCUUCGGGCGUCCGAGUUGUAAUCUAUAGAGGUGUUUUCCGCGCCGGACCACGUUUAAGUCUCCUGGAACGGAGUAUCAAAGAGGGUGACAAUCCCGUGCUUGACGUGACGACCGGUGCUAUGUGAUACACUCUCAACGAGUCGAGUUGUUUGGGAAUGCAGCUCUAAAUGGGUGGUAAAUUCCAUCUAAGGCUAAAUAUUGGCGAGAGACCGAUAGCGAACAAGUACCGUGAGGGAAAGAUGAAAAGCACUUUGGAAAGAGAGUUAAACAGCACGUGAAAUUGUUAAAAGGGAAACGAUUGAAGUCAGUCGUGCACUUGGUAUUCAGCCGUCUCUGACGGUGUAUUUGCCUUGUGCGGGUCAACAUCAGUUCUGAUCGACGGAAAAGGGCGGAAAGAAGGUGGCACCCUCGGGUGUGUUAUAGCUUUCUGUCGUAUACGUCGGUUGGGACUGAGGAAUGCAGCUUGCCGCAAGGCCGGGGUUCGCCCACGUUCAAGCUUAGGAUGUUGACAUAAUGGCUUUAAACGAC
RNAcentral lists this ribosomal RNA (596 nucleotides) under Vishniacozyma sp. RNAcentral's name for it is "partial large subunit ribosomal RNA". It matches the Rfam family "Eukaryotic large subunit ribosomal RNA", at positions 62 to 648 of the family's 3401-position model. The record is from RNAcentral. Lineage: Eukaryota; Fungi; Basidiomycota; Tremellomycetes; Tremellales; Bulleribasidiaceae.